This is a long non-coding RNA of Setaria italica (foxtail millet), 316 nucleotides long. RefSeq lists it as uncharacterized. The record is from RefSeq and is a predicted model, not a curated record. NCBI's taxonomy places the organism in Eukaryota, Viridiplantae, Streptophyta, Magnoliopsida, Poales, Poaceae. The transcript is spliced from 2 exons.
AGUGCUACAACUGGUGAGGGAUUGUAUGAAGGCCUAGACUGGCUGUCCAGCAACAUUGCCAGCAAGUCCUAAAUUUUCGAGAGGUUUGGACCAUCUAGGAGCCUUUGGAUGAUGAUAUUGCUGGAUAUUUAGGGUUGGGUUGCUAUUCCCGUAUGUAAGGUGUAUGCCCUGAGCUCAAUAGUUAUUGAGCUUUGGUUAAGAUUUUGCAGUUAAAUUGUUUUGUGUAAUUUGGAUCCUUGAGAUGUUUCCGAACCAAACAGCUAAAGAGAGUUCCGUUGAGUUAAUUGGUUGGGGGAAUGCGUGCUGGUAUGCAGUA